UGUUUACUCCCUCUGUCCGAAAAUACUUGUCAUCAAAAUGGAUAAAAAGAGAUGUAUCUAAAACUACAAUACGUCUAGAUACAUUUCCUUUUAUCCAUUUUGAUGACAAGUAUUUCCGGACGGAGGGAGUAUUUG
This is a non-coding RNA of Triticum aestivum (bread wheat), 135 nucleotides long. The record is from Rfam. Lineage: Eukaryota; Viridiplantae; Streptophyta; Magnoliopsida; Poales; Poaceae.